GGCAUUACCUGGCAGGGGAGACACCAUGAUCACAAAGAUGUUUCCCCCGUGCAAGGUUUAUCUGUCGCACUUUGGAUGUGCUGACUGACCCCUGAGACUUCCCCAAAUGCAGGGAUUCAUGAUUUGUGUUGAUGGGGGGCAUGUUCAUGCUCUCGUC
Mesocricetus auratus (golden hamster) is the source of this 157-nucleotide small nuclear RNA. Its record names the gene U1. It matches the Rfam family "U1 spliceosomal RNA". Rfam says of the family: U1 is a small nuclear RNA (snRNA) component of the spliceosome (involved in pre-mRNA splicing). Its 5' end forms complementary base pairs with the 5' splice junction, thus defining the 5' donor site of an intron. Lineage: Eukaryota; Metazoa; Chordata; Mammalia; Rodentia; Cricetidae. The record is from Ensembl.